AUUGAACGCUGGCGGCAUGCUUUACACAUGCAAGUCGAACGGCAGCGCGGGGCAACCCGGCGGCGAGUGGCGAACGGGUGAGUAAUACAUCGGAACGUACCCAGAAGUGGGGGAUAACGUAGCGAAAGUUACGCUAAUACCGCAUACGUUCUACGGAAGAAAGUGGGGGACCUUCGGGCCUCAUGCCUUUGGAGCGGCCGAUGUCUGAUUAGCUAGUUGGUGAGGUAAAGGCUCACCAAGGCGACGAUCAGUAGCUGGUCUGCGAGGACGACCAGCCACACUGGGACUGAGACACGGCCCAGACUCCUACGGGAGGCAGCAGUGGGGAAUUUUGGACAAUGGGCGCAAGCCUGAUCCAGCAAUGCCGAGUGAGUGAAGAAGGCCUUCGGGUUGUAAAGCUCUUUUGUCAGGGAAGAAACGGCUGAGGAUAAUACCUUCGGCUAAUGACGGUACCUGAAGAAUAAGCACCGGCUAACUACGUGCCAGCCGCCGCCGUAA
RNAcentral lists this ribosomal RNA (498 nucleotides) under uncultured bacterium. Its description in RNAcentral is "partial 16S ribosomal RNA". It matches the Rfam family "Bacterial small subunit ribosomal RNA", at positions 30 to 523 of the family's 1533-position model. The record is from RNAcentral.